GCGGUGAUCGCAUAGCCUGGUAUUGCGCAGGAUUGCUAAUCCUGUGGGUUCUACCCUCGGGGGUUCAAAUCCCCCUCACCGCG
Molecule: transfer RNA, 83 nt
Filed under: Methanobacteriota archaeon
Lineage: Archaea; Methanobacteriati; Methanobacteriota
Also listed under: 2 other names
Description: Euryarchaeota archaeon tRNA-Ser
Rfam family: tRNA
About the family: Transfer RNA (tRNA) molecules are approximately 80 nucleotides in length. Their secondary structure includes four short double-helical elements and three loops (D, anti-codon, and T loops). Further hydrogen bonds mediate the characteristic L-shaped molecular structure. tRNAs have two regions of fundamental functional importance: the anti-codon, which is responsible for specific mRNA codon recognition, and the 3' end, to which the tRNAs corresponding amino acid is attached (by aminoacyl-tRNA synthetases). tRNAs cope with the degeneracy of the genetic code in two manners: having more than one tRNA (with a specific anti-codon) for a particular amino acid; and 'wobble' base-pairing, i.e. permitting non-standard base-pairing at the 3rd anti-codon position.
Source: RNAcentral